GCUGUUAAGGAACUCCUUCAAAAGUGACGCAUUCUUUGACAGUGUGAAAAGUUGGAAAAGUAUUUUGGAGUUACCUUGUUUGAUGUCUGGAGAGAUUUUUGAGAAAAUUACCUAAUAGAAGAAUCUUAGCAGAAAAUAUGGACUUUGUAGGAGAAGAAAACAUCAAUAAUCAUUAACAAAAGCAUUUCAGUGUUUUGUGGGACAAAGGGAGAAUACUUCAGCUCUUUGGCUUUCAAGAAGAAGCAAUGUACAAGGAGAGAUCUGAAGGCUGAGAGGGAAUUAUCCAAGUGAAAAAGAAAAGGACGGUCCAGCAAAAUGAAGCGAUGUGUAUUAGCAGAGGAGGGUGAGAACCAGACAUAAAGAAAC
This is a non-coding RNA of Vicugna pacos (alpaca), 366 nucleotides long. The record is from RefSeq and is a predicted model, not a curated record. NCBI's taxonomy places the organism in Eukaryota, Metazoa, Chordata, Mammalia, Artiodactyla, Camelidae.